GACGAACGCUGGCGGCGUGCCUAAUACAUGCAAGUCGAACGCUUCUUUCCUCCCGAGUGCUUGCACUCAAUUGGAAAGAGGAGUGGCGGACGGGUGAGUAACACGUGGGUAACCUACCCAUCAGAGGGGGAUAACACUUGGAAACAGGUGCUAAUACCGCAUAACAGUUUAUGCCGCAUGGCAUAAGAGUGAAAGGCGCUUUCGGGUGUCGCUGAUGGAUGGACCCGCGGUGCAUUAGCUAGUUGGUGAGGUAACGGCUCACCAAGGCCACGAUGCAUAGCCGACCUGAGAGGGGGAUCCGCCACACUGGGGCUGAGACACGGCCCAGGCUCCUACGGGAGGCAGCAGUAGGGAAUCUUCGGCAAUGGGCGAAAGGCUGACCGAGCCACGGCGCGUUAGUGAAGAAGGUUUUCGGAUCGUAAAACUCUGUUGUUAGAGAAGAACAAGGACGUUUGUAACUGAACGUCCCCUGACGGUAUCUAACCAGAAAGCCACGGCUAACUACGU
Molecule: ribosomal RNA, 507 nt
Filed under: uncultured bacterium
Lineage: Bacteria
Description: partial 16S ribosomal RNA
Rfam family: Bacterial small subunit ribosomal RNA
Source: RNAcentral